Molecule: non-coding RNA, 223 nt
Organism: Pelobates cultripes (western spadefoot toad)
Lineage: Eukaryota; Metazoa; Chordata; Amphibia; Anura; Pelobatidae
Source: the annotation of a GenBank genome assembly
GCCUCUUCUUCCUCUGCACACAUAUCCCCAUGGCCACAUACAGCAACUGGGGUUUGUGCAGCUAAACCUGUUCUAAGCGAUGAAAUUAGCUCUCCUCUCGCUUCAUAAUUGUCCUCUAAUGUACUUACAUAUUCUGCAUUUAAGCCACAAGUUGGACAAUCACUAUAUUUCUGAGUACUACUUUGUAUACAAGCCACAGUAGUGUGCCCCAAAAGUAUCCGAU